GACGAACGCUGGCGGCGUGCUUAACACAUGCAAGUCGAACGGUAAGGCUCCAGCUUGCUGGGGUACACGAGUGGCGAACGGGUGAGUAACACGUGGGUGACCUGCCCUGCACUUCGGGAUAAGCCUGGGAAACUGGGUCUAAUACCGGAUAGGACCGCACCGUGAGGGUGUGGUGGAAAGUUUUUUCGGUGUGGGAUGGGCCCGCGGCCUAUCAGCUUGUUGGUGGGGUAAUGGCCUACCAAGGCGGCGACGGGUAGCCGGCCUGAGAGGGUGGACGGCCACAUUGGGACUGAGACACGGCCCAGACUCCUACGGGAGGCAGCAGUGGGGAAUAUUGCACAAUGGGCGGAAGCCUGAUGCAGCGACGCCGCGUGGGGGAUGACGGCCUUCGGGUUGUAAACUCCUCUCACCAUCGACGAAGGGUUUCUGACGGUAGAUGGAGAAGAAGCACCGGCUAACUACGUGCCAGCAGCCGCGGUAAUACGUAGGGUGCGAGCGUUGUCCGGAAUUACUGGGCGUAAAGAGCUCGUAGGUGGUUUGUCGCGUCGUCUGUGAAAUUCCGGGGCUUAACUCCGGGCGUGCAGGCGAUACGGGCAUAACUUGAGUACUGUAGGGGAGACUGGAAUUCCUGGUGUAGCGGUGAAAUGCGCAGAUAUCAGGAGGAACACCGGUGGCGAAGGCGGGUCUCUGGGCAGUAACUGACGCUGAGGAGCGAAAGCAUGGGGAGCGAACAGGAUUAGAUACCCUGGUAGUCCAUGCCGUAAACGGUGGGCGCUAGGUGUGGGUUUCCUUCCACGGGAUCCGUGCCGUAGCUAACGCAUUAAGCGCCCCGCCUGGGGAGUACGGCCGCAAGGCUAAAACUCAAAGGAAUUGACGGGGGCCCGCACAAGCGGCGGAGCAUGUGGAUUAAUUCGAUGCAACGCGAAGAACCUUACCUGGGCUUGACAUAUACAGGAUCGCGCCAGAGAUGGUGUUUCCCUUGUGGCUUGUAUACAGGUGGUGCAUGGUUGUCGUCAGCUCGUGUCGUGAGAUGUUGGGUUAAGUCCCGCAACGAGCGCAACCCUUGUCUUAUGUUGCCAGCACGUCGUGGUGGGGACUCGUAAGAAACUGCCGGGGUUAACUCGGAGGAAGGUGGGGAUGACGUCAAAUCAUCAUGCCCCUUAUGUCCAGGGCUUCACACAUGCUACAAUGGUCGGUACAGUGGGUUGCCAGUCCGUGAGGGCGAGCUAAUCCCGCAAAGCCGGUCUCAGUUCGGAUCGGGGUCUGCAACUCGACCCCGUGAAGUCGGAGUCGCUAGUAAUCGCAGAUCAGCAACGCUGCGGUGAAUACGUUCCCGGGCCU
RNAcentral lists this ribosomal RNA (1341 nucleotides) under uncultured bacterium. RNAcentral's name for it is "16S ribosomal RNA". It matches the Rfam family "Bacterial small subunit ribosomal RNA", at positions 28 to 1381 of the family's 1533-position model. The record is from RNAcentral.